This is an RNA transcript of Erpetoichthys calabaricus (reedfish), 3119 nucleotides long. It is a transcript of the gene named zinc finger protein 501-like, with no coding region annotated. The transcript has 4 exons. The record is from RefSeq and is a predicted model, not a curated record. Lineage: Eukaryota; Metazoa; Chordata; Cladistia; Polypteriformes; Polypteridae.
CAGUUCAUCUUUGCAGUGGGCGUGUCAUGGUGUUGUGGGCGUUCCGUGAAUGACGUAGUAGCUACUGUAUCUACCGUGUGCUGCAGUUCCUCUCUGUUUGCUCUUAUGAGACCCUCGUGCUCAGACUUCUUGACGGCCAGAAGACCAAACAAAGGUGCGGAAGGGCUUUCCCAUUUCACUUGGCCAUACACUGAGGUGUCUAAUGACCUACAAGUCAGGGCUGUCCAUGUGAGAAGUGAAUCUGAGAAGAGAAGGGCAGACACUUAAAGAGAGAGAAGAGUUUCCCACAGAACAUGGCCUCUGCCAAAGAAGAUGGUGUGGAUGAAAAAACGGUGGACAUUAAAGUAGAGGACUGUGAGCGGCUCACACCAGAGGAUGUGUGUGUGAAGCUGGAGGAUCACGAAGAAAGAAUUUCAGUUUUUAAAGAGGAGGAGGAGUGCAAGGAGGUGACUGCUGCCAUUAAACCUGAGGAUUUGAAUGAUUUCUCCAUUGGUCUUGGACUUCAAAAGCAUGAAACUGAGGAUUUUUUCAAGCAAGAUGCCUGUGAAGAAUCUCCAUCCAGUUUACAGCCCUGGUCCACUAAUACGGGACGACUGGCUACACAGGAGAAUUCGGCAGAGCUGAAAUCAGAAUUAUUGGAAUCUGAAGAGAAAAUCACCAAGGGAAAUGGGAGAGAAGGAGAAGAGUCACCUGGGAGUGUUGGAAUAAAAUUGCAGAACAAUGGCAGCUUCUCUCCACCCUCAUUUGGUCAGCCCUCUCUUCAAUACAAAGAGAAAGGUAUGAAGAUUCACACAGGAAAAAAAACAUAUUGUUGUCAUGAAUGCGGCAAGCAUUUCUCAAAGAUCCAGAAUUUUAACAAACACAAAAAAAAUCACUCUGGAGAGCAGAAACCCCAUUGCUGUAAAGAAUGUUGCAAACGAUUCUCAAUGAGAUGCCAUCUUGAAUACCACAGAAGAAUCCACACAGGAGAAAAUACUCAUUGUUGUCCAGAAUGUGGUAAGUCAUUCUCAACGAGAAGCCAUCUUCAGAGACACAGAAGAAUCCACACAGGAGAAAAUACUCAUUGUUGUCCAGAAUGUGGUAAGUCAUUCUCAACGAGAAGCCAUCUUCAGAGGCACAGAAGAAUCCACACAGGAGAAAAACCUCAUUGUUGUCCAGAAUGUGGUAUGUCAUUCUCCAGUAGAAGCAAUCUUCAGAGUCACAGAAGAAUCCACACAGGAGAAAAACCUCAUUGUUGUCCAGAAUGUGGUAAGUCAUUCUCAAGGAGAAGCUGUCUUCAGAGACACAGACGAAUACACACUGGAGAAAAACCUCAUUGUUGUCCAAAAUGUGGUACGUCGUUCUCAAGGAGAAGCCAUCUUCAGAAUCAUUUUAUAAUCCACACAGGAGAAAAACCUCAUUGUUGUCCGGAAUGUGGUAAGUCGUUUUCAUGUAAAAGCUAUCUUCAGAGGCACAGAAGAAUCCACACAGGAGAAAAACCUCAUUGCUGUUCAGAAUGUUGUAAGUCGUUCUCACAUAUAAGCCAUCUUCAGAGGCACAGAAGAAUCCAUACAGGAGAAAAACCUUAUUGUUGUCCAGAAUGUGGCAAACAAUAUUCUGACAAACUCAGUUGUCAAAGGCACACAGAAAUUCAUACUGGAGAGAAGCCAUAUUGAUGUUCUCAAUGUGGAAAAAGGUUUUUCAACAUUAGCUGUUUUCGAGUACACACACAAACUCACACGGAAGAGAAAAUGCAGUAUGUAAGUUCUGAAUGUGGCAAAUGUUGUGCAAGCCAGAAAUGUCUUUAUAGACAGGCCAAAAUCCACACUGGAGAAAAAUCUUUUUGCUGAUCUGAAUGGGUAAACAAUUCUUAGAUUUAUACUCAUUUCAGUGCCACAUCAGAACUCCUGCUGCAGAGAAGCCUUAUUAUUGUCCUGAAUGUGAUAAGAAGUUCUCACAACAAAGCACCCUACUGAGUCAAAUGAGACUUCACACCGGAGAGAAACCUUACCAUUGCUUGGAAUGUGGCAAACAAUUCUCACACCUUAAUUCUCUGUAUAAUCAUAGGAGAAGUCAUACUGGAGAGAAGCCUUACAGUUGUAAUGAAUAUGGAAUGCGAUUUUCAUAUAACAGUUUUGUCUUCACAAACAUAAAAUAUUUCAUUCUGGUAAGAAAGAAAGCUGUUCUGAAUGUGGCAAGCUUUUCUCAGACAGCACUACUCUUAAAGAUCACAUGAGAAUUCACUCUGGAGCAAAAACCCUACUACUGACCAGAAUGUGGGAAACGGUUCUCACGUCCAAGCGCACUUAGGUGGCACAGAAGGGUCCAUACUGGAUAGAAGCCAUACACCUGUUCUGAAUUUGGUAAAGGAUACACUUCCAGAAAAUGUUUUCAGAGACACAUACAAAGUCAUAUUGGAGUAAAGCCUGUCCCAGAAACGACAAAUGAUGUUUCUAUUGGUUCCUCAAACAUAAAAAAUGAAUAAUGAACUUCUGAAUGAGGUAAAGGACUCCAGGUUAAAGUAGUUAAUAAGUACAUAAGAAUAGUGGAGAAAACACUGAAAGUGGCAAACAGAUCGUAGAUGUAAGGUAACCUCAGAGCCACAUAUGAAUUCUAUGGAAGAAUAGUUUUACGGUAACAUAGCAUUCAUCUUAAAGAUAUAGCAUAAAGAGUUAAUAAAUGUGGGAAAACAAAUAAUGGUCAAGUGAACAAAAAAAUGUAACCUGAAAUAUAAGAUUUGGUUUAGGAAAAAUACUGAGAUGGUCAAGCAAAUAAAGAAUGUACCAGAAGAAAGGUUGAUGUGAUGUACAAAAUGUAAUGAAAGAUUUCUAAGACAUCAGCAGACGUACUUUAAGCAAAGAGAAUGGACAAUUGUUAUGUGAACUGAAAUGUCAAAGCUGAUGGUGCAACUCAAAGGUAUAAGAAGAACCAGAAUAUAAUAUAAGUGACUUUUAUUUUAUAUAAAUCAUUUGGGUGUAAACCAACUGUUAUGUAUAUGUAAGAAUUUAAGACUAAAUAUAAGGUCUAUUUAAUGUUACAAAUAAUUGCAUUGAAUGUGUGAUGUUCCUGCACCUUGAUAUUAAGGCGCAUAUUACUGCUGGAACUUGUUACAGACAUAAAAUGAUGGAAGUUUGAUAAUU